This is an RNA transcript of Acipenser ruthenus (sterlet), 2031 nucleotides long. RefSeq lists it as uncharacterized. The record is from RefSeq and is a predicted model, not a curated record. The transcript is spliced from 5 exons. NCBI's taxonomy places the organism in Eukaryota, Metazoa, Chordata, Actinopteri, Acipenseriformes, Acipenseridae.
CAGACUGGAACUGCGCGAAGAGAAGCCCACCACCAAGGGGCGAAGUGAGAAAGCUGAGACCCCGCUUUGAAUUCCAGCAGUAUGGCACAAGUUUCAGCGCAUUGGAGAUCCUACUGCACACAUUCAGGCUUUUGGUAAAUCUGUGGGAAUACUCCACACCUUACCCAGAGAAAACUCGGUGCUUUCUUAAAAGAAGGGAUAUGUAGCCUAUGUGUAAGUGGUUUGAUGCAGACUGUCGGCAUCUGAAAGAAACGUUUGACCAUGAGCGACCACUGCUGCUGUGGCUGCGUAACAAAUGGGAUUCACAAAUCUGAGGAUCAUCCGAUAGGCAAUGAUAAAUGGUAGUUUGUCCCCAGGCCUGCGAUCUGUAUCUUCUUAUUGGUAACAGCGUUGUAUCCGCAAAGCUCUGACAGCAAAAGCAAGUGCAACAUUUCAGAGAUCCUCAAAGAUUAUAAAGUGGUCAUCUUCCAGGACAUCAAGAGCCUGAAUCUCACAGGACUUGAAUAUUCAAACAAAAACAGGAAUCUGGGAAAUUCUUGCCAGUCUGAUAAGGAAUACAAGAUUCUGCAAUCAAUAUACAAAAUGACCCUUUUACUCAAGUGUCAGGUCAGAGUAAAUAAAAUGAAUGGCAUCAAAGAAGCUGUGCGUAAAACAACAAUGCAGAUUGAAUCUGCUAUCAACCAGCACUGCAAGAAAAUGAAUAAGAAAAAGAGACAACAAAAGGACUCCAGAUGUACACAGAGAAACUUGAAGAGUCAGAGAAGCAUAAGGAGAUUUAAGAAGGACUUGUCAAAAACCAUUGAGACUCUGGUGCUCUGUUGGGCAAAAUUAGACACUAUGCAUCCCCAACGCUAAGAAGAAGCGAGACCUGGGAUUGGACUUGGUAUAUCUGAGGUACUGAGGUGUCAGCACUGGCUAGACCGAGUGAACAGCAGAAGGGGAGGUAUUAGAAACUGUGUACAAUAGCGUGUCUUUAUCUUUUUAUAAUCUGUGUUUGUAAUCUGUGCACAUGCUUGAUUUAGGCCUAUUAAAUGCAGACAUCCCAUGAUGAAUUGCACUGCAAAAUUGCCGGUUGUUCUUCGUGCAUUUCCCUUGCUCAUUGUGCGCGUUUAUCAUGGUUAUCCACAGUUUAUAGCAAGCUUAACAGUGCGUAUCUGUGAUUUAGUAUGCUGUACUGUACUUUGCUAUGCUUACCUUCGAGAUGUCAAAAUCCUCUGCAGCUCUCUUCUUCCCUUACAGGUCGGGUUUGACUGCAUGUUGAGUAGUUCCUGACUGGGACAGUUAUCGUUCUUUAAAGGUGCCUGACAAAUGCUCAGUCAGACUGCACUUUUAAAUCUUUCCUAAUGGGCCUGAUAAGUAUUCCAAUAGAUCCCAAUAAAGCGGUCACUUAAUUCUUUAUGAGUACUGUGUAAUUUACUUGUCGAACCUGCCCUGUUCAAGAGAAGGGGGAAUCGUACAGUAAAUAAUUGUGACGGUGCGACCAAAUAAAACAUGAAUAAACAUUGCACCUUAGUGUGAGACUGACCCACCUAAUGAAGGGUAUUCUACUGGAAACCGUUUUAUACUUUUUUUAACAUUGUUUUCUAUUAGUUUCAGUAUUCAGUGAGUCAAUGAUGUGGCAGUCUGUCACUAGGGUAUUUUUUUUAACAGAGUUCACGUAUAUAGUGACAUGCCUGUUUCAUAUCUGACAACAAAAAACUGGCACACAGAUCUUGGUAAGAUGUGAGUUGUUUUUCAUUUUUAAAACAUUUUAUGUUGCUAAAUUUGUAAGAUAUUUCUUUUCAUCGGUGCUUUGUUGGAGUGCAAUAACAUGUUCUUCACCCCUCUGGACAUAGCCGGUUGAAUAACAUACCGUUUGUAAUAGCUUUUAGGGCUAAGCUAGCCUUCAGGUAUCUCUCCUGGGCUCUCGUGUGUUGCUUUAACUUGACCAUGGUCAUUUAUAUGCAACAUUGUACAAUAAUGAUCCUGAUCAUACCCAAUGUAUUGUAUAUUUCACCUUGCCACUACAGUAAAUAAGCUAAUACAAUCUUA